CUUGCAGGCUCAUCUCAGGGGAGCAGGCAAACAAAGGAAGAGGCACAGAAGGCAGAGCGGCAGGAAGGAGGCUGUAAGGAAGAUGUGCACAUUCGCUGCCUGGCAAGCUCACAGCCAUCCCCUCAACUGUGAUGAGAUUCCUGAAGCAAAUUACAGGGCGCAGUGAGAGUGUACGAGAUGGGAACCUACCUGGAUAAAGAAGUGGUGGUCAGAAUUUGAAAUUGAAGCCUCAGGGUUUCCCUGAGGAUGGUUGAGAUCUGCAGGACAAAGAAACUAGAAAACCAGAUAGUGGAAAUAGCAGUGCCAAGAAGCUGUUGAGGAAGACUGUUCUCCCAACCGACUCAUGAAAACAACAUACUAGGGACAAGUGGCUUAAGCCCUCUGACUAAGCUUACCAGGAGCGUCGAACUUGGCAACCUGAUCAAUUGGCAAAAUGGUAUUCCUCUAUCUUUAUUAAUUUUAGUGGAAUAUUUUUAACCUUUUAUUAGUAAACUAAACCUAGGUCCAUGGUUUAGAUCAUAAACUCUAACUAUGUCUUCAACAAAUAAUAGUUGAAUAAAUAAAUGGAUGAAUGGAAGGAAAGACUAUAUGUACCUAACUUGGUCUUCUCACUUGCCUGUGGUAGCACCACUCAACUGAAUACCUUCCAUGUGCUUCUCUAGUCCUUUCCUCCACCCUCUGUCUGCACAUAUCCUGGGAGGCUUACCUGCACUAACUAUACUCUGGCUUCUGUCAAGUUCAGUCUAUUGAAAGUGCCAGUGGGAGAUCAGAAAAGAGGUGAGGAGGUCAGAUUAGUUAUCCUCCUGUGGUGUCAACACUGGUUAUUUGAUCUCAUAACUGAAGACAACAGCCUCUGUGUCUCCAGGUUCUGGAAAGUGCCCUAUCUCUUUGUCCCUUCAGUCCUCUGAAGAGAAAUGCCCCUACUGUCAUUAGCUCCUAGAUACUAUCCUUUGGGAUUUUGGUAGGUACCUCACAAAUGUUUAUAAAUAGUCUUUUAAGCAAACGUUGUGCCUUUUACCCAGUUUUAAUGUGCCACCAUUUCCUGCCAGAAUCUUGACUGAAAAAAUACUUGUACUUGAGGGGAUUUGAACUGGUGGUGGUAAGUUCUGGUUCCAGUUAAGAUGGAUUAAGCACACUUCCCCCAGUCUCCUCCAUGGAAUGAAGCUGUAAAGCUUGGACAGCAUGCAUGGAGAAGCUAUUUAAGAACUGGUGAUUUUCUACUGAAGGUUUAAAUAGGAUGGUACUGUUGUUUCUGCAACUGAUGGUAAACCAACAGAGAAGCCUAUUCCGAUCUAGCCUCUCUAAAUGAGCUGCUAACUAUUUGACAAACUGAUCAGUUGAAUAUAAAUGUGCUGCCACUCUAAGCAUCAUGUAUUAAGGCAAAAAGUAAAAAGGAUUUAUAUUUGGGUUCAAAUCUUGGUUCUACCACUUACCAGCUGGGUGACCUUGUGCAAGUUAAUUAAUCAUUUUUAGUUUUAGUGGCAUUAUCUAUACAUUGGGAAUAACUUAAAGUAGAGCAGGAUGAACAAAUAGAAGCCUUUACUGAUCAUCCUCCCCACAGAAACACCAAAUUAAAAAACCCCACAAAAAACUUCAUAAAACCACAACUCAGAAGAGUGAUCACAGUACCUAACUUUAACUUCAUAUCACUGAGAGAGGCCCUGAAGAGGGCUGGAAAGAUAGUCUUGAAUUGUUGAUGUUACUCCUCCUUCAUAGACCAGCAGUGACCGUCUAUGUGUGCCAUGGAGACAGAGUCUGCGUACUUGGGGUGGUAGGGAGAGCACAGGGAUUGUGGGACAUUGCAUUGGAACUCAGUGCCUCCCUGUCACAGUGGAAAGCAACACCAGGCAGAACUCAGUCAGCACCCACGGAGGGAGCAUUCACACCAGCCCUAGCCAGAGGAGGAAUUGCCCAUUUCAGCAGAUGGAAUCUGAAUGCCAGCAAGCCUCACCACUGUGGGCUCAUGUGCUCUGGGGUUCUAAAUAAACUUGGAAAGCAGUCUAGGUCACAAGAACUGCAAUUCCUGGGGAAGUUCUGGUCCUGUGCUGGCCUCAGAGACAGUGGACUUAGGGGGGCAAGCAACCUAGUAAGAUGACAGCUUGGGCAGCCAAGGGAGUGCUUGUGCCACCCCUCCCUCAACCCCAGACAGCACAGCUCACAGCUCUGGGAGAGACUUCUUCCCUCUGCUUGCAGAGAGGUGAGGGGAGAAUAAAGAAGACUUUGUCUUGGGACUCGGUUACCAGCUUAGCCACAGUGGGAUAGGGUACCAGGUAGAGUCCUGAGGCUCCUAUUCCAGGUCCUACCUCCUAGACAUUUCUAGACUAGUCUUGGGUUCAGAAGGAAACCCAUUGCUUUGAAGCAAAGAAACUAGUCCUAGAAAAAUUCAUUGCCUGCUGGCUAAAGAGCCCUUGGGCCCUGAAAAAUCAGGAGCAAUACCCAAGGUACUCACCAUGCGCCUUGGGUGAGACUCAGAGACAUGCUGGCUUCAGGUGUGACCUAGGACAUUCCCAGCUAUGGUGGCCAUAGGGGGAGACUCCUUGUGCUUCAGAAAAGGAGAGGGAAGAGUAAAGGAGACGUUGUCUUGUAGCAUAGGGGCCAGAGCUUGGUUUGGACACAAUGGGGUAGAUCACCAAGUGGGCACUUAGGGUCUCCAGUUCCAGGUCUUGGCUCUUAGAUGGCAUCUCUGGACCUAUCCUGGGCCAGAGGGGAGCCUGGUUCCCUGCAAUGAGAGUCUCAAGCCUAACAGCAUUCACCCAGCUGAUUGAAGAGGCUUUGGGCUUUGAGUAAACAAUGGUGGUAGCCAGGCAGUACUUGCCGCAGGUCUGAGGUGGCGGUGGCCAUGGUGAGACUCGAUGCUUUUGAAAAGGGGAGGGAAGAGAGGGAAAAAGUUUGUAUUGUGGUUUGGAUGCUGGCUCAACCACAGUAGAAUAUAGCACCAGGCAGAGUCCUAAGGUUUCUGACUCCAGGCCCUGGCUUCCAGUUGGCAUCUCUGGGCACCCCACCCAGGGGUAGGGGGAACUUGUCACCCUGAAGGGAAGAACACAAGCCUCAUUUCACCACCUGCUAAUUGUAGAUCCUCAGGGCUUUGAGCGAACAUAGGCAGUAGCCAGGUGAUGUUACAGAGGGCCUUGGGUCUGACCCAGCACAGUCCCAAUGAUGGCGGUCAGGGGUGCUUGUGUCACUCUUCCACCAGCUUUAGGCAGCUUAGUAUGUGGACAGAAGCUCUACUUGUUUGGGAGAAAGUAAGGGAAGAGGAUAAGAGUCUCUGCCUGGUAAACCAGAUAAUUCUUCCAGAUCUCAUCCAAGACCUGCAAGGUAGUACCUCUGUGAGCCUACAAGAGGCACAGUCUUACUGGACUUGGGGUGCCACCUAAUGAAGAUAUAUGGCUGCAGGAACCAAAAAGUUAAAUCACAACACCCAAGUCCCUUUAAAUACCUGGAAAGUUCCCUAGAAGGUUGGGUACCAACAAGCCCGUACUAACUCUUCAAUGCACAGACAUAAAAAAAAUGUAUCUACAAGCAUCAAGACCACCCAGAAAAACAUGACCUCACCAAAUGAUCUAAAUAGACACGAGAGACCAAUCCUGGAGAGAUAGAGACAUGAGACCUUUGAGACAGAAUUAAAAAUAGCUGUUUUGAGGAAAUUCAAUGAAAUUUAAGAUAACACAAAGAAGGAAUUCAGAAUCCUGUCAGAUAAAUUUGACAAAUAGACUGAAAUAAUUAAAGGGAAUCAGCAGAAAUCCUGGAGUUGAAAAAUGCAAUUCACAUACUAAAGAAUGUGUCAGCCCCCUACCAGCAGAACUGAUGAGGCAAAAGAAAAAAAUCAGUAAGCUUGAAGACAGGCUAUUUGAAAAUACACAGUCAGAGGUGACAAGAGAAAAUAAGAAAGAAUGAAGCAUAGCUACAGAAUCUAAAAUAGCCUUAAAAGGGAAAAUCUAAGAGUUAGUGGCUUUAUAGAGGAGGGGGAGAGAGAGAGAGAGAUGGGGUAGAAAGUUUAUUCAACAGAGAACUUUCCAAACCUAGAGGAAGACACCCAAGUUCAAGUACAAGAAAGUUAUAAAACACUAAGCAGAAUUAACCUAAAGAAGACUGCCUCAAAGCAUUUAUUAGUCAAGCCCCCAAAGGUCAAGGAUAAAGAAAGGAUCUUAAAAGCAGCAAGAUUUGUUUUGGAGAUUCCUCAAAAACAGAUAACAUACAAUGGAGCUCCAACCCAAACUGGAAAGGAAGAAGUCAAAUUAUCCUUGUUUGUAGAUGAUAUGAUCUUAUAUUUGGAAAAACCUAAGACUCCACACACAUAAAACUAUUAGAACAAAUAAAUUCAGUAAAGUUGCAGGAUACAAAACUAGCAUAUGAAAAUCAGUAGCAUUUCUAUAUGUCAACAGCAAACAACACCAGAAAAGAAAUCAUGAAAGUCAUUCCAUUCACAAUAGCUAAAAAUAAAAUAAAAUUCUUAGGAAUUAACCAAAGAAAUGAGAGAUCUCUGCAAUAAAAACAAUAAAACAUUGAUAACAGAAAUUGAAGAGGACACAAAAAUAUGAAAAGAUAUUCCACGUUCAUGGAUUGGAAGAAUCAGUAUUAUUAAAAUGUUCAUAAUAUCUAAAGCAAUCUACAGAUUCAAUGCAAUUUAUAUCAAAAUACCAAUGACAUUCUUUACAAAAAUAGAAAAAGAAUCCUAAAAUUUAUAUAGAAACAUAAAAGACGUAGAGUAACCAAAGCCAUUCUGAACAAAAACAAUAAAACUAGGGGAAAUCACAUUACAUGACUUCAAAUUUUCUAUAAAGCUAUAGUAAACAAAACAGCAUGGCACUGGCAUAAAUAUGGACACAUAGACCAAUGGAACAGAACAGAAAAUCCAGAAACAAAUCCAUACAUUUACAGUGAACUGAUUUUUGACAGAAGUGUCAAGAACAUACAUUGGGGAAAGAACAGUCUUUUCAAUAAGUAGUUAUGGGGAAACUGGAUGUCCACAUGCAGAAGAAUAAAACCAGACCCUUAUCUCUUACCAUAUACAAAAAUCAUAUCAAAUGGAUUAAAGACUUCAAUCUAAGACCUCAGACUACGAAAGUACUACAAGAAAACAUUGGAGAAACUCUCCAGAACAAUUGGCUGGGUCAAGAUUUCUUGAGUAAUAGGCCACAAUCACAGGCAACUAAAGCAAAAAUGGACAAAAGGGAUCAUGUCAAUUUAAAAAUCUUCUGCACAGCAAAGGGAACAAUCAAAAAAGUGAAAAGACAACGCACAGAAUGGGAGUGAAUAUUUGAAAGCUACCCAUAUGACAAGGGAUUAAAAAUCUGAAUAUAUAAGGCACUCAAACAACUCUAUGGGGAAAGGUCUAAUAAUCCAAUUUAAAAAUGGGCAAAAGAUCUGAGUAGAUACUUCUGGAAAGAGGAUAUACAAGUGGAACAUAGGUAUAUGGAAGGUGCUCAACGUCACUGAUCAUCAGAAAAAUGGAAAUCAAAAGUACAAUGAAAUAUUAUCUUGCCCCAGUUAAAAUGGCACAUAUCCAAAAGACAGGCACUAACAAACGCUGGUGAUGAUGUGAGAAAAGGGAACCCUCGUGCACUGUUGGUAGGAACAUAAAUCAGUACAACCACUAUGGAAAACAGUUUGGAGGUUCCUCACAAAACUAAAAAUUGAGCUACCAUGUGAUCCAGCAAUUCCACUGCUGGCUAUAUCCUCCAAAGAAGGGAAAUAAAUAUAUCAAAGAGAUACAUACACUAUCAUGUUUGUUGUAGCACUGUUCACAAUAGCUAAAAUUUGGAAGCAACCUAAAUGUCCAUCAACAGAUGAAUGGAUAAAGAAAAUGUGGUACAUAUAUGCAAUGGAAUACUCUUCUGCCAUAAAAAACAAUGAGAUCCUGUCAUUUGCAACAAGAUGGAUGGAACUGGAGGUCAUUAUGUUAAGCAAAAUAAGCCAGGUACAGAAAAACAAAGUUCACAUGUUCUCACUUAUUUGUGAGAGCUAAAAAUAAAAACAAACUCAUGGAGACAGAAAGUAGAGUAUGAUUUUGGCUGUGAGAUUUUCGUGGAUGUUCUAUCAGAUGAGAAGAUCCCCCUCUGUUCCUCGCAGCUGACAGAUUUUUUCAUGAAGUUGUGUUGAAUCGUUUCAAAUGCUUUUUCUGCAUGGAUUGAGAUAGUCUUUUUCUCUUUUAUUGUGCUAAUGCAGUUCAUUAUAUAAAUUGAUUUUCUUUGUUUUUUUUUUUUAUUUAUUUUUUUGAGAUGGAGUUAUGCUCUUGUUGCGCAGGCUAGAGUGCAAUGGCGUGAUCUUGGCUCACCGCAACCUCUGCCUCCUGGGUUCAAGCAAUUCUCCUGUCUCAGCCUUCUGAGUAGCUGGGAUUAUUACAGGCAUCCACCACCAUCCCUGGCUAAUUUUGUAUUUUUUACUAGAGACAGGGUUUCUCCAUGUUGGCCAGGCUGGUCUGGAACCCCAAACCUCAGGUUAUCAGCCUGCCUCGGCCUCCCAAAGUGCUGGGAUUACAGGUGUGAGCCACUGUGCCUGGCCCAUAAAUUUAUUUUCAAAUGUUAAAUUAACUGUGCAUUGUGGAAUGAAUGCUGCCUGGUCAGGAAGUAUUAUCUCUUGUGUUUGUGUGUCACAUGCAGUCAGUCAUCAUUAUUUGUGGAUCCUGUAUUGGUGAAUUGCCUACUUACUGAAAUUUAUUUGUAACCCCAGAUCAAUACUGGCAACACCUUUGUGGUCAGUCUCUGGCAGAUGUGUGGUGUGGCGGGAAAGGUAAACUGCCUGGCUUGCACCUCUCAGGCAAGGUGGGACGAUGCUGCUCUGCCUGUCUCCGUUCUCUCACUGAGUACUCCUUUCUCACGGUGUACUUCAUGUCAUUUCACAUCUUUGUGCUUUAUGUUGGUGACUUGACUGUUUAAAAUGGCCCCUAAAUGUAGUGCUGAGGUUCUGUCUAGUGUUCCUAAGAGUAAGAAGGCUAUGGUGUGCCUUUCAGAGAAAUACAAGAGCUCAAGAAACUGCUCUCAGGUGUGAGCUCUGGUGCUGUUGGCUGUGAGUUCAGUGUUGAUGAAUGAGCAAGGUAGAUUGAAUAAGGUGGUGGUCCCCAGGCUUUUCUGGCACCAGGGACUGGUUUCAUGGAAGACGGUUUUUCCAUGGGUGGUGGGGUAGGGGGCUUGGUUCAUGAUGAAACCUUUCCACCUCAGAUCAUCAGGCAUUAGCUUCUUAUAAGGAGUGUGCAGCCUGUAUCCCUAGCAGGUGCCUUUCACAGUGGGAUUUGUGCUCCUGUGAGAAUCUAAGGCCACUGCUGACCUGACAGGAGGUGGCAUUCAGGCAGUGAUGCUGGCUGGCCAGCCGCUGGCCUCCUGCUGUGUGACCAGUUCCUAACAGGUCACAGACCGGCAGGUUGGGAACCCCUACAAUCACAUUUUUUUUUAAAACUUAAAUUUGUCCAGGCGCAGUGGCUCAUGCCUAUAAUUCCAGCACUUUGGGAGGCUAAGGCAGGUGAUCACUAGGUCAGGAGAUCAACACCAUCCUGGCCAACAUGGUGAAACCCCGUCUCUACUAAAAAUACAAAAAUUAGCUGGGCAUGGUGGCACAUGCCUGUAAUCCCAGCUACUCAGUAGGCUGAGGCAGGAAAAUCGCUUGAACCUGGGAGGUGGAGGUUGCAGUGAGCCAAGAUCUCACUAUGGCAUUCCAGCCUGGGUGACAGAGCAAGACUCUGUCUCCAAGAAAAAGAAA
Callithrix jacchus (white-tufted-ear marmoset) is the source of this 7692-nucleotide long non-coding RNA. RefSeq lists it as uncharacterized. NCBI's taxonomy places the organism in Eukaryota, Metazoa, Chordata, Mammalia, Primates, Cebidae. The record is from RefSeq and is a predicted model, not a curated record.